AAGAAGGCCUUCGGGUUGUAAAGCUCUUUCAGCAGGAGCGAAACGGUCGUUUUUAAUACAGACGGCUAAUGACGGUACCUGCAGAAGAAGCACCGGUUAACUACCUGCCAGCAGCCGCGGUAAUACGUAGGGUGCGAGCGUUAAUCGGAAUUACUGGGCGUAAAGCGUGCGCAGGCGGCGACAUAAGACAGAUGUGAAAUCCCCGGGCUCAACCUGGGAACUGCGUUUGUGACUGUGUGGCUAGAGUGUAGCAGAGGGGGGUGGAAUUCCACGUGUAGCAGUGAAAUGCGUAGAUAUGUGGAGGAACACCGAUGGCGAAGGCAGCCCCCUGGGUUAACACUGACGCUCAGCACGAAAGCGUGGGGAGCAAACAGUUAGAUACCCUGGUAG
This 390-nucleotide ribosomal RNA is filed under the name uncultured beta proteobacterium. RNAcentral describes it as "bacterial SSU rRNA". It matches the Rfam family "Bacterial small subunit ribosomal RNA", at positions 408 to 793 of the family's 1533-position model. Lineage: Bacteria; Pseudomonadati; Pseudomonadota; Betaproteobacteria. The record is from RNAcentral.